Non-coding RNA from Felis catus (domestic cat), 85 nucleotides. The record is from Rfam. Lineage: Eukaryota; Metazoa; Chordata; Mammalia; Carnivora; Felidae.
GCCUGGGUGGCUCAGUCGGUUAAGCCUCUGACUUCCGCUCAGGUCACGACCUCACAGUUCGUGGGUUCGAGCCCCGUGUCGGGCU